RNAcentral lists this ribosomal RNA (116 nucleotides) under Pseudomonadota bacterium. The record is from RNAcentral. Lineage: Bacteria; Pseudomonadati; Pseudomonadota.
UCUGGUGACCACAGCGCGGUGGAACCACCCGUUCCCAUCCCGAACACGGAAGUGAAACGCCGCAGCGCCAAUGGUAGUCGGACGACAGGUCCCGCGAGAGUAGGUCGUUGCCAGAA